RNAcentral lists this transfer RNA (72 nucleotides) under Capra hircus (goat). It matches the Rfam family "tRNA". From Rfam's summary of the family: Transfer RNA (tRNA) molecules are approximately 80 nucleotides in length. The record is from Rfam by way of RNAcentral. Lineage: Eukaryota; Metazoa; Chordata; Mammalia; Artiodactyla; Bovidae. RNAcentral also lists the same sequence under 1 other name.
UCCCUGGUGGUCCAGUGGCUAAGAUUCUGUACUCCUAAUACAGGGGCCUGGGUUCAAUCCCUGGUCAGGGAA